Sarcophilus harrisii (Tasmanian devil) is the source of this 4176-nucleotide long non-coding RNA. The record is from Ensembl. Lineage: Eukaryota; Metazoa; Chordata; Mammalia; Dasyuromorphia; Dasyuridae.
AGCAGAAUUAACAAGUAGAUCUAUGACCCUAUGAAAGCGAGUUGCCCAGUACUGUUUUAGAAGUGAAGUGGAUUUUGAUUAAGGAGGUUAUACUCUCAGGAUAGAAAUGCUGUGAUUAUGGUUUGUUCAUUCUCUUUUUUCUUUUCCCACAAAAGAAAGACAUGAAGUUAUCAGAAAAUUACGUAUAUUCUAUUUGAGAGAAAGUCUCAGAAAGUUCAAUUAAUAUCAUCUAUUUAAUAAUGAAUCUAAAAGCCAAGGGCUGCCUGUAGCUAAGAUAAGGACUCAGAAUCAGAACACCAGAAUGAGUUUGAAGCAAAUCCUGUUCUUUACUAGCUGUGCGGCUACAGAAAAGUCAUUUAAUUCCUACGAAUCUGAAGUUAGUCAUUUCUAAAAUGGGGAGGUUCAUAGUAAUUACCACACAGGAUUGUUGUGAGGCAAAUGAUACAUAAAAUGUAAAUUAUUAUUGAAAAUGCUAGAAAACCUCCUAGCAGCAGAGAAAAGCUGCUGAUAGGAAUUUCUCUGCCAAGUUGGUUUCAAAUUCCAAAGCUAGAACAGUUAUAACUUUGAAGUGUAAUCAGGGUAAGUUAGAAAGAAGCAUUGUCACUGAAGUCUGGGAAUGGAGUAGUGCUGAAUUAAGUAGUGAAUUAAAAAGUUAAAGAUUAAUGAGAAAGCUUCAGAUUGUACCUAGAUAUUUAUUUCCUUAAUUUUUUUCUUUUGCUGUUUAAUGUUUACUGCUUUUUAUUAUUUUAACAAAGGGGUGUGUGUGUGUGUGUGUGUGUGUGUGUGUGUGUGUAUGAAUCUUUUUAAAAACAGUGGAGGAUAAGGAUCUCAGAUCAUACGUUUGUGGUUCUGUAUGGAUGGAGGUCCCUCCUGCCACUUGGUGGCAGCAUAUUCUAAUUGCAUGGACAACAGACACUAGCUAUCUAGAUUCAAUUUUAAAUUUAAAAAUAAAUGAUCAGCAUUACUAUCAAGCACAUAUUAAAUAUAUGUUGUGUACUGAACACUAUAAGGCAUGGUCUCUCCCAUUAGGAAGUAACAAUUUAGUUAAUUAAAUCUAGGAUGUAUAUGUAUAUAUGUAUGUGUAUUGUAUGUGUGUGUGUAUACAUAUAUGUUGCAUGUGUGUAUACAUGUGUACAUAUAUGUAUUGUAUCUAUCAAUGAAUACAUAAUGUAUGUUGAUACAAUGAAUAGAGUGCUAGGUUUAUAGUUAGGAUGAUCUGAAUUCAAAUCCAGUCUAAAUAUUUACUAGCUGUGUGAACCUGGACAAGUCCCUUAACUGUGUUUGCUUUAGUUUCUCAUCUGUAAAAUAAUCUAUAGAAGAAAAUGGCAAACCAUUCCAGUAUCUUUGCCCAGAAAAUCCCAAAUGGAAACACGAAGAAUCACACACAUACCUGAAAAUGACUGAAUUACAAUAAGUAUGUGUAUCUCAACAUGCACACAUACGUGUAUACAUACAUUAUAUAUAGGUGUAUAUAAAACCUAUAGGUAAUAAAUUUACAAUUCAAAUGAACACAGACAAAAUGUUAAAAUCACAUUAGUAAGUGCUAUUGAAAUUCAGAGUAGAAAGCGAUAUUAGACCGAGACAAUAAAAGAAAAUUUUAUAGAGGAAAUAAGAUUUGAGAUGACUAGAAGUGAAAGGAUUUAGGGAAAUCAAUAAAUGAGUAUUUAUUAUAUGUGCCAGGUAGUCACUGUACUUGGUGCUGGUGAUACAAAGACAAAAGUGAAAAGUCCCUACCUUCAAGGAGCUUACAGUCUUAAACCAAAGGAGAUAGCAUGUACAUAAAUAGGUCUGUACAUAAAAAAAAAACAAAAAAAAAAUAGGUCUGUACAACAGUAAUCAAUGUACAAAGAUUUAUUAAGUGCUUACUGUAGGCUAGUCACUCUGCUAGAUGAAGAGGAUAUUGUGACAAUAAGAUGCUUACCUUACAAUAGGAGAGGAGAUGAAAGAUAGAGAAUAAACACACAAAAUAUUUUAAGUAUUAAACAUAAGACAGUUCAAGAACAAGGGCUCUAGCAGUUGGAGGGAUCAUGAGAGAUUUUAUAUAGAAGGUGGUAUUGAAUUAAGCCUUAAAGGAAAAGGGAUUCUCUAAACUGAAGUUAAAUGGGGGAGUGUAUUACAGGGAUGGGGAAACAGCCAGUUAUGGAGAAGGCUGAUGGAAUGUUUUAUGAAAGAAAGAGGGAAGAGGAGUAGGGCUGGAUUGUAGGGUGUGGGAACGAGUGUAAGACACAGUAGGGCUCAAAAGAUAAGUCCGGGUUGUAAAGGACUUUAAAAACUAAAUAUCUUAGUGGCAACCGUAGGUCACUGGAGUUAAAUGAAUAGAAAAGUAAUUAUUAGAUUUGAAUUUUAGGAAAAUCACUUUAGCAAAUACAAAAUAGUUCCUAAUAAUUUCCUUUUUGUCUUCAUUUGUCAUGAAUUACCUCUUACAUUUUUUAUUAUUGAUAAUUACGUUUUCCUCUUUAAAAAUCACACCAGCUACUACUUUUGACAUUUUAUUUUUAUAAGUCCUUAGUUUAUCAGUUCAAUAAUUUUUUAAUUGCAUUUAAAUUGCAUUAAUUUCCUAUGAUUUUCAGAAUGUCUAUUCUGGUGUUUAAAUGGUAUUUACUAAUCUGUUUUCUAGGUCUUUAAUUUGCUUGACUAAUGCAUCAAUCUGUUCUUUUUGUAUUUUGCUAAUGAAAUGUUUAGAGAUUAAUUUUUUCCUUAGGAUAAUUAGGAAGAAGUUGCAGUUAUCAACAAGGCCAGAGGUAAUGAGAGCCCAAACUAAGGUGAUAGUUGUGUUGGUAGAGAAAAAGCAUUAGAAACACAAGAAGAAAUAGGCAUAGUAUAAAAAAGACACUAUCUCUAUUAUAUACAGGGUACAGAUAGUGUCUGUCCCAUACACACACACACACACACAUACCUAUUGUGUAUUGUGCCUAAUAGUAGCCAUCUCUAGGGUGGGAAGAGGGAACAAAAAAAAAAAUAAAAAAGAAAUUUACAUGUUAUCUUUAUUAUAUAUGUAAAAGGAAUGGCAAGUUGUACAAAAUAGAUUGGUAGUUUCACAUGUAAUCAUAUUUUUAUUAUACCAUGUUAUGGAAAUGCUUUAUUCCACAAAUACAAACAAACAAACAAAUAAAUACUAUCCAAAAAAAGAAAAGGGGGAAAUAGGCAUAAGUUAAUGAAUAGUUGUAAUCAGUUUUACCUUAUUAGGUUGGGAAUUAAAAACUGAAUGUUGUAAUCAGGCGAGAGAAAGAGAAAGAGAGAGAGAGAGAGAGAGAGAGAGAGAGAAGGAAGGAAAGAAGCAAGGAAGGAAGGAAGGAAGGAAGGAGAAAGAAAGGGAAAGAAACAGAGAAAGAAAGAAAGUGAAAAAAAGGAGAAAGAAAGAAAGAAAGAAGGAAGGAAGGAAGGAAGGAAGGAAGGAAGGAAGGAAGGAAGGAAGGAAAGAAGGAAGGAAGAAAGGAAGGAAAGAAAAAAAGAAGGAAGGAAGGAAAGAAAGAAAGAGAAAGAGAGAAAGAAAGGGAGAGAAACAGAGAAAGAAAGAAAGUGAAAAAGAAAGAAAGAAAGAAAAGGAGGGAGGGAAGGAGGGAGAGAGGAAGGAAGGAAAGGAGAGAGGAAGGAAGGAAGGAAGGAAGGAAGGAGAGAGAGAAGAAGGGAGAGAGUAUGGGAAGGACAGAGGGAGGGAAGAAGGAAGGAAGGAAGGAAGGAAGGAAGGAGAAAGAGAGAAAGGGAGAGAAACAGAGAAAGAAAGAAAGAAAGAAAGAAAGAAAGAAAGAAAGAAAGAAAGAAAGAAAGAAAGAAAGAAAGAAAGAAGGAAGGAAGGAAGGAAGGAAAGAAGGAAGGAAGGAAGGAAAGAAGGAAGGAAGAAAGGAAGGAAAGAAAAAAAGAAGGAAGGAAAGAAAGGGAGAGAAACAGAGAAAGAAAGAAAGUGAAAAAGAAAGAAAGAAAGGAGGGAGGGAAGGAGGGAGAGAGGAAGGAAGGAAAGGAGAGAGGAAGGAAGGAAGGAGAGAGAGAAGAAGGGAGAGAGUAUGGGAAGAACAGAGGGAGGGAAGAAGGAAGGAAGGAAGGAAGGAAGGAAGGAAGGAAGGAAGGAAGGAAGGAAGGAAGGAAGGAGAAAGAGAGAAAGGGAGAGAAACAGAGAAAGAAAGAAAGAAAGAAAGAAAGAAAGAAAGAAAGAAAGAAAGAAAGAAAGAAAGAAGGAAG